GUAAGUUGGCAGAAUAGUGCCACCGACUUAGGAUCGGUUCAUGGAUAAGUCCACUUACUACAUGC
This 65-nucleotide transfer RNA is filed under the name Gatesona chaetophora rutena. RNAcentral's name for it is "Allolobophora chaetophora rutena partial tRNA-Leu". Lineage: Eukaryota; Metazoa; Annelida; Clitellata; Crassiclitellata; Lumbricidae. The record is from RNAcentral.